This is a long non-coding RNA of Helianthus annuus (common sunflower), 817 nucleotides long. RefSeq lists it as uncharacterized. The record is from RefSeq and is a predicted model, not a curated record. The transcript has 3 exons. Lineage: Eukaryota; Viridiplantae; Streptophyta; Magnoliopsida; Asterales; Asteraceae.
GUGGGUGUUCGACCAGAGAAGAGAAAGAAGGGGGGAAACCCCUUCUCAAACCCUAAUCGACCAAAUUGGAUGGAUUCUGGCUGAAAUCGAACUUGCAUGAACAAGAUUCUUGAUUGUUCAACUCUGUAAAACACAUGGAAUCCCAAUUGACAUGGACUCAAGAAUGGAAGGCUAACGGAUCAAGGGUAAAUAAAGAAGCUAUGCACAACUCGGACGCACGAUGUAUAUGAACACCGGGUUCUUGAAGUAUCGAAGUCGAACUCUGAAUAAGAAAAUACGAGAGGAUAGUUAAAUAAAUCAAAGUUUCAUUGUUAAAUGUUAUUCACUAUUAGAUUAUAUGAGAAUCAUGUUGUACAACGUUGUUAAUGACUAAUGGUUAAGUUGUAUGUGAUGUUCACAGGUAUUGCACGUAUCUCUACCACUACUAUCGAAGAUAAGCAUGCAUUGAUCGAGCCCCAAAUUAAAGAUUGUACGGGAAGAACAGCCACAUAUUCUGAUUUAUGUAUUGUCUUGAAGCGUUACUUUAAUGUGGUUAUUGUUAAUCCCUUUUUUGUAAAUGUUUAUCAUGUGUAUUUGAGCUUUUAAAUAAGUAAUGGGUCUAAAUAAGAAAGAAAAAUUUUGGGCUCAUAUUUUCCGCUGCGUCAUGUUUAAGUUCUUACAGGGAAUUGUUCAUUAUACGAACGGGUCAUGCCCAAAUUUUGUAAAUAAUAAUGCUUAUUUGGAAUAAGAAAUAUGGGCGUUAGAAGUUGGUAUCAGAGCCCUGGUUUGAGGGAAAUCAAGUAUGAGGAGGCAAAUACUUGAACUCAAACCUGCGUGC